Molecule: long non-coding RNA, 1127 nt
Filed under: Lynx canadensis (Canada lynx)
Lineage: Eukaryota; Metazoa; Chordata; Mammalia; Carnivora; Felidae
Description: lncRNA (ENSLCNG00005016857.1)
Source: RNAcentral
AUGAUAACAGAAUUCUAUGAAUUUCAUUUUGAUUUUGUUUCUUCCUAGGACUUACACAAAAUAAACAUGCAUCAGGAUCCUCAAAGACAAGAAAAGAUUGAGAAAACGUGGAAGGUGGCAAAGGCUAAGGAGAAAUAACAACUGAAUGUAAAGCGGAUCCUGGAUCAGAAAAAAAGACAUUAGUGGGAAAAUGGCAGAAUUUCCAUUAAGAUCUGCAGCUCAGUUUAUAAUGUUGUACCACCGUGAAGUUCCUGUUCUCAAAAUAUCUACAAUUAGUUAUGUGGUUCCCUUUAGAGCAAGAGGGCUUGUGAGAUGUUAUAAAGACUGUACAUGGCCUGUUGUUGUACCUCUUCUAUAAUAUGAAAGUGAGUUGACAGUGAGUAUUCUUGUUAUGUUUAUAUGCUUUGUUUUUGUUUUGUUUUGUUUUGCUUUAUUUAUUCAUUCAUUCAUUCAUUCAUUCAUUCAUAUCUCUGGCAGACUCCUUCAGGGACAAUCACAUUCACACAUUCAAUGAAGACUUGAGACAAGGAUCCUACCGCACAUCCUAGGCUUCCCUUGCCACCUCUUCAGACUGGUAUGGAGGGAAUGUGGCUGACUUUGAGUCGGAGUUCCCUCUUGUCCAGCAAGAAAAUGGAUGCAGAAUUGAAUACAAGAGAGGCUAAUGUCCGGGAGGAGACGAGAGCCCCAAGAUCUGCAAAACGAGGACUGAGCAGAUCACCUCCACAUUUCUUCCACGCUACAAUUCUAUGAAUUGGAAAUAAGGAGACUUCAGUAGGAUCCAUACCAUAGAGUUGUGAGGGGUGAAUGAGAGAAGCCAUGUAAAGCAUGAAGCCCAGGAAUAGGAACAGUAAGCGUUUGAGAAUGGAAAUUGCUGUUACCAUUAUCAUCAACAAGAAGUGCAAAAAGUCCAUUUUCCUAAAAAAGAAAUUGUAUAUUUAUAGAAACCACAUUGUUUAUCAUUUAUGAUCAGUUUUAAAGACAUAAGAAGUUUUAAUAUUGGUGUCAAAUGUGAAUUUUCUUUAUUAAAAUAUAAACAAAAAUAAACCCAUGUGUCAGCUGAGAGAGGGGGAUGUUUGUUAUUCAGUGGGCCACAGAGGGACCUUGUUUUAUUUGAUGUUGUCAUGGUC